Molecule: ribosomal RNA, 359 nt
Filed under: uncultured bacterium
Lineage: Bacteria
Description: bacterial SSU rRNA
Rfam family: Bacterial small subunit ribosomal RNA
Source: RNAcentral
GAUGAACGCUGGCGGUAUGCUUGACACAUGCAAGUCGAACGGUCUUUUCGGAGAUAGUGGCGGACGGGUGAGUAACGCGUGAGAAUCUAGCUUCAGGUCGGGGACAACAGUUGGAAACGACUGCUAAUACCGGAUAUGCCGAAAGGUGAAAGGCUUGCUGCCUGAAGAUGAGCUCGCGUCUGGUUAGCUAGUUGGUGGGGUAAGGCUUACCAAGGCGACGAUCAGUAGCUGGUCUGAGAGGAUGAUCAGCCACACUGGGACUGAGACACGGCCCAGACUCCUACGGGAGGCAGCAGUGGGAAUUUUCCGCAAUGGGCGAAAGCCUGACGGAGCAAUACCGCGUGAGGGAGGAAAGCUAC